RNAcentral lists this non-coding RNA (32 nucleotides) under Mus musculus (house mouse). The record is from RNAcentral. Lineage: Eukaryota; Metazoa; Chordata; Mammalia; Rodentia; Muridae.
UACCCUCUCCACAACUCAAAGUAAAGCCCUCA